This 224-nucleotide long non-coding RNA is filed under the name Diabrotica virgifera virgifera (western corn rootworm). Its description in RNAcentral is "uncharacterized LOC126888059". The record is from RNAcentral. Lineage: Eukaryota; Metazoa; Arthropoda; Insecta; Coleoptera; Chrysomelidae.
CUGUAUGAGCUUUCGUAACGUUCGGUUGUGUGACAGUUCAGUGUGGAAGUGAUAAUUCAAAAAAAACGCAGGCGACAAAAACAAAAUAGGAACUACAUAAUAGAGCUACAGAAAAACAAGAAGAAGGACAAGGACCACAUAGGACCAAAAAAAAAAAAAUAGAUCUGAAGUUGACAGGACACCUGGUUGUGCAUUGCCUUGAGCAAGACGCGCAUAACCAAUAA